ACUCUAUUAUGAAAUUAUUGCUUCUAAUCUAACUUCUCUCCGGUCUAUUCUAUAGAUGGUUCGUGCCAACAAGACCGCUCGUAUCUCCACUGGAGGGUACCACCCACAUCGUUACCAAUAUGAGCCUAUGGAGCCACAAGAGGAGAGUUCACCGGAACAUGAAGAAACCCCACCACCUUCAGAUCAAGUAUCUGAGCCAGAGCUAUCGCAAGUAGAGUCUGAACCAGAGGAGGAGCCCCAGGAGGUAACACUAAUUUCUGAUGAUGAAGAAGAAGGUGCUCCCGGAGGAGGUCAACCCCCAUCACCGCCGCA
This 312-nucleotide long non-coding RNA is filed under the name Sorghum bicolor (sorghum). RNAcentral's name for it is "long non-coding RNA (SBIC_LNC002666)". Lineage: Eukaryota; Viridiplantae; Streptophyta; Magnoliopsida; Poales; Poaceae. The record is from RNAcentral.